GUCGUUUUGUGCUUGUGUUGUUUAGUGUGUCAUUAAUCUUUCUUCUCAUUGUGUAUUUUUUCUCUACAAUUAAAUUUUUUUCUGAUGGUUUUGUCCACAAGUGUAAUUUUGUGUAUUUGUAAAGUUAUUGUGUAUUUUGCUGCUUUGUGUGUUAUGAGUAAUAUUCUUGUUUAUUUUAUGUGCUUUUGGGGUGAUAAUGUGUAUUUUUGGUGUCAUAUUUUGUAUUUCUGUUAUUCAGUGUGUGUGAUUAUUAAUGUGGGGUAUUUCUGUUGUCAUUUUGUAAACUUUUCUGUGAAUUUGGUGUACAUUGUCAUAUUUUUCUCUAUAUUUGUGGUCAUUUUGUGUGUUUUAUAAACCGUAAACUCUGAUUUAAAUCACAGGACAAACUGUUGAUUGUGAGUAAAUGUGAGCGGCUAUGGUUAUGGUGGUGACGCACCAUGCACGCGGCAGGUCUUUAAAGGGUAGCGCGCAUGAGGCGGGAGCGCGCAGCAGCAGCAGCAGCAGCAGCGGACGGUUUGACGCACGGUCUGUAGGAAGCUCUCAAAGUCUGUCACUUUUUCUACUGACAGCGCAUUAAAGACACAGCAGGCUUAACAUGGGUAACAGGUUCAGUAGAAGGCCAAAUGGCCCAGAAAAUGCUGAGACUGAGGCCACUGAACAGAAGACCAGUGCAGAGCCAGCACUGGAUUCUUCCGUCACUCAGGAGGUGGUCAAGGCAGAAGGUCCAGAGGAGAAGAAUGAAGAGUGUCCACCUGAAUGUCAACAGUUUGUUGCUCAAACAAACGUAGCCGAACUAGAGCCAAAAAUAUUGGAAGUCCAAGCACCAGUAGAACCUGAACAGUCACUGGUUCAAGCAGAACUACCUAAAGAAGAUCCCGAAGUCGAGAUAGGAUCUGAGGCCAUUUUAGAGGAAGCUCCAUCUUCAGAAAUAGUUCCUGAACCAGAAUCUCAGACCUCCGAGGCCAAAGAAGCUUCUGAACCUGUUUUGGACACAGAAAUGUCUUCAGAACUGGUUCCAGAAGCAGAUUCUACUUCCAGUUCAGAGACCAAAAAAGCUCCUGAACCUGUUUUGGAUGCAGAAGAGUCUUCAGAACUAGUUCCAGAAGCAGAUUUUACCUCCAGCUCAAAAGCUGAAGAAGCUCCUAAACCAGACGCAGAAGAGUCUUCAAAAGAUUCUACCCCCAGCUCAGAAGCUGCAGAAGCCCCUAAACCAGUUUUGGAUGCACAAAAGUCUUCAGAACUGGUUUCAGAAGCAGAUACUACCUCCAGCUCAGAGGCCAUGGAAGUACCCAAGCCUGCUGAACCAGAUGUGAUUGCAUGUACCGAGGAAGACGUUGAGGCAGACCCCAUACCAAACUCCGAGCCGGAAAUCAAACCAGGUUCAAAACCUGAUUCUGAGUCAAAGUCAUCACAGAGCUCAGAGGCUGAGGAGGAACCUACCUUGAUACCAGAACCAGAACCAAUGAUAGCUGAAGAUAAUGAAACAGAGCCAGACCUUCUUGCUCAAGAGUCUUUACAGGAGCAAAUACCAUUGAUUCUUUCUUCGCUCAAUUCAAAUAUCACUGACGUCAUUUCGUCUUCAGCUCCGAUCAUUGACGACGAUCCGUCUGACACGCCCACAGAUGACCAACGCCAAGAAGAAGAACCUGCUGAAUGCUUGGAGCCAAAAGAGCCUGAGGAAACCUCUCAGGAGCCACUGGUUGAGCUGCCGCAGGCUUGCAAUGACAUCAACGAAGAGAGUGUUUGUGAAAGCCUAAAAAAGAUGAACCUGAAAGGAAAGGACUUUGUUGACGACCUGAUUCCAAGCGAUGUAGAGUUAUCCACUGACACGCCCAUCACAGACCUGACUCAUUUGCUUCUAGCCUCUUGUGCGUGUUUCGUCAGAGAUACAAUCAUCGUUUCUAAUAUUUCAAACCAAACCUCAGCUCUCACAAACUGGAAAUUUUUGUUUUUUUCCUCUUUUUUUUUUUACUGCACAAAUACAAGUUGUCUUCUGUCUGCUUCACAGUUGCAUGAUCACAGCUAACAGGAAGUCAGAUUGAACUUUAAAACUUGGACUAAAUGUAUAAAUUUCCUCCCAUUAAAGGGAAAAUUAAAAAAAAAUAUAUCUUGUUAACCAUGCAUGUGUUUAUAAUUUGACAUUAAUAAUUCAUAUUGGUUUGUUUUAAUCCCUUUGUAUCCAUUGUGUCAGGUAUGAAUGGAUUUUAUUUUUUUGCUUAUCAUUAAGGAGUUAAAUGUUCACAGAUUAUAUAAACAUUUGACAGGAUUUUCUCUUUGUAAACUUGCAUGGUGGAUAAGAUUUAAUUGAAACGUGUAUGUUUGAUGUGAAUGGAUUCAGUAAAGUGGGGCCCAACUUGUAACUGAAUACAUUCCAGUGUCUUAGAAAUAGUGUUAAAAUACUCUAAAGGGAGACAAUCAUCAAUGUUUUAUAGUGAUUUAAGUGCAAAAAGAUUUGUUUUUUCUUGUUAUUUUCCAAAAGUGGAUGUUUUUGGGGGAUGUUGCAUGUAACUCUGGAAUGUAAUUCAAAAAGAUGUGGAAUAAAAAGACAACACUUGAGUUUUGAAUUGCA
Molecule: long non-coding RNA, 2569 nt
Filed under: Gouania willdenowi (blunt-snouted clingfish)
Lineage: Eukaryota; Metazoa; Chordata; Actinopteri; Blenniiformes; Gobiesocidae
Description: lncRNA (ENSGWIG00000020161.1)
Source: RNAcentral